This 1534-nucleotide ribosomal RNA is filed under the name Salmonella enterica subsp. enterica serovar Hadar str. RI_05P066. RNAcentral describes it as "bacterial SSU rRNA". It matches the Rfam family "Bacterial small subunit ribosomal RNA". Lineage: Bacteria; Pseudomonadati; Pseudomonadota; Gammaproteobacteria; Enterobacterales; Enterobacteriaceae. The record is from RNAcentral.
AGAGUUUGAUCAUGGCUCAGAUUGAACGCUGGCGGCAGGCCUAACACAUGCAAGUCGAACGGUAACAGGAAGCAGCUUGCUGCUUCGCUGACGAGUGGCGGACGGGUGAGUAAUGUCUGGGAAACUGCCUGAUGGAGGGGGAUAACUACUGGAAACGGUGGCUAAUACCGCAUAACGUCGCAAGACCAAAGAGGGGGACCUUCGGGCCUCUUGCCAUCAGAUGUGCCCAGAUGGGAUUAGCUUGUUGGUGAGGUAACGGCUCACCAAGGCGACGAUCCCUAGCUGGUCUGAGAGGAUGACCAGCCACACUGGAACUGAGACACGGUCCAGACUCCUACGGGAGGCAGCAGUGGGGAAUAUUGCACAAUGGGCGCAAGCCUGAUGCAGCCAUGCCGCGUGUAUGAAGAAGGCCUUCGGGUUGUAAAGUACUUUCAGCGGGGAGGAAGGUGUUGUGGUUAAUAACCGCAGCAAUUGACGUUACCCGCAGAAGAAGCACCGGCUAACUCCGUGCCAGCAGCCGCGGUAAUACGGAGGGUGCAAGCGUUAAUCGGAAUUACUGGGCGUAAAGCGCACGCAGGCGGUCUGUCAAGUCGGAUGUGAAAUCCCCGGGCUCAACCUGGGAACUGCAUUCGAAACUGGCAGGCUUGAGUCUUGUAGAGGGGGGUAGAAUUCCAGGUGUAGCGGUGAAAUGCGUAGAGAUCUGGAGGAAUACCGGUGGCGAAGGCGGCCCCCUGGACAAAGACUGACGCUCAGGUGCGAAAGCGUGGGGAGCAAACAGGAUUAGAUACCCUGGUAGUCCACGCCGUAAACGAUGUCUACUUGGAGGUUGUGCCCUUGAGGCGUGGCUUCCGGAGCUAACGCGUUAAGUAGACCGCCUGGGGAGUACGGCCGCAAGGUUAAAACUCAAAUGAAUUGACGGGGGCCCGCACAAGCGGUGGAGCAUGUGGUUUAAUUCGAUGCAACGCGAAGAACCUUACCUGGUCUUGACAUCCACAGAACUUUCCAGAGAUGGAUUGGUGCCUUCGGGAACUGUGAGACAGGUGCUGCAUGGCUGUCGUCAGCUCGUGUUGUGAAAUGUUGGGUUAAGUCCCGCAACGAGCGCAACCCUUAUCCUUUGUUGCCAGCGGUUAGGCCGGGAACUCAAAGGAGACUGCCAGUGAUAAACUGGAGGAAGGUGGGGAUGACGUCAAGUCAUCAUGGCCCUUACGACCAGGGCUACACACGUGCUACAAUGGCGCAUACAAAGAGAAGCGACCUCGCGAGAGCAAGCGGACCUCAUAAAGUGCGUCGUAGUCCGGAUUGGAGUCUGCAACUCGACUCCAUGAAGUCGGAAUCGCUAGUAAUCGUGGAUCAGAAUGCCACGGUGAAUACGUUCCCGGGCCUUGUACACACCGCCCGUCACACCAUGGGAGUGGGUUGCAAAAGAAGUAGGUAGCUUAACCUUCGGGAGGGCGCUUACCACUUUGUGAUUCAUGACUGGGGUGAAGUCGUAACAAGGUAACCGUAGGGGAACCUGCGGUUGGAUCACCUCCUU